This 442-nucleotide ribosomal RNA is filed under the name uncultured bacterium. Its description in RNAcentral is "partial 16S ribosomal RNA". It matches the Rfam family "Bacterial small subunit ribosomal RNA", at positions 338 to 795 of the family's 1533-position model. The record is from RNAcentral.
CCUACGGGUGGCAGCAGUGGGGAAUAUUGGGCAAUGGGCGAAAGCCUGACCCAGCAACGCCGCGUGAAGGAAGAAGGCUGUCGGGUUGUAAACUUCUUUUGACAGGGAAGAGCAGAAGACGGUACCUGGCGAAUAAGCCACGGCUAACUACGGGCCAGCAGCCGCGGGAAUACGUAGGGGGCAAGGGUUGUCCGGAUUUAAGGGGUGUAAAGGGCGGGUAGCCGGGCUGGCAAGUCAGUUGUGAAAUCCGGGGGCUCAACCCCCGAACUGAAUUUGAAACUGUUGGUCUUGAGUAUCGGAGAGGCAGGCGGAAUUCCUGGUGUAGCGGUGAAAUGCGUAGAUAUUAGGAGGAACACCAGUGGCGAAGGCGGCCUGCUGGACUACAACUGACGGUGAGGCGCGAAAGCGUGGGGAGCAAACAGGAUUAGAUACCCGUGUAGUC